CCUACGGGUGGCAGCAGUCGAGAAUCAUUCACAAUGGGGGAAACCCUGAUGGUGCGACGCCGCGUGGGGGAAUGAAGGUCUUCGGAUUGUAAACCCCUGUCAUGUGGGAGCAAAUUAAAAAGAUAGUACCACAAGAGGAAGAGACGGCUAACUCUGUGCCAGCAGCCGCGGUAAUACAGAGGUCUCAAGCGUUGUUCGGAAUCACGGGGCGUAAGGCGUGCGUAGGCUGUUUAGUAAGUCGUGUGUGAAAGGCGCGGGCUCAACCCGCGGACUGCACCAGAUACUGCGAGACUAGAGUAAUGGAGGGGGGACCGGAAUUCUCGGUGUAGCAGUGAAAUGCGUAGAUAUCGAGAGGAACACUCGUGGCGAAGGCGGGUUCCUGGACAUUAACUGACGCUGAGGCACGAAGGCCAGGGGAGCGAAAGGGAUUAGAUACCCUUGUAGUC
Molecule: ribosomal RNA, 446 nt
Filed under: uncultured bacterium
Lineage: Bacteria
Description: partial 16S ribosomal RNA
Rfam family: Bacterial small subunit ribosomal RNA
Source: RNAcentral